RNAcentral lists this ribosomal RNA (406 nucleotides) under uncultured bacterium. Its description in RNAcentral is "partial 16S ribosomal RNA". It matches the Rfam family "Bacterial small subunit ribosomal RNA", at positions 30 to 526 of the family's 1533-position model. The record is from RNAcentral.
AUUGAACGCUGGCGGCAGGCCUAACACAUGCAAGUCGAGCGAGCGGCGGACGGGUGAGUAAUGUAUGGGGAACUGCCCGAUAGAGGGGGAUAACUACUGGAAAAGGUGGCUAAUACCGCAUACUAUCGGAUGUGCCCAUGUGGGAUUAGCUAGUGGGUGGGGUAAAGGCUCACCUAGGCGACGAUCCCUAGCUGGUCUGAGAGGAUGACCAGCCACACUGGGACCGAGACACGGCCCAGACUCCUACGGUAGGCAGCAGUGGGGAAUAUUGCACAAUGGGCGCAAUCCUGAUGCAGCCAUGCCGCGUGUAUGAAGAAGGCCUUAGGGUUGUAAAGUACUUUCAGCGGGGAGGCGUUACCCGCAGAAGAAGCACCGGCUAACUCCGUGCCAGCAGCCGCGGUAAUAC